RNAcentral lists this long non-coding RNA (438 nucleotides) under Homo sapiens (human). RNAcentral's name for it is "HSALNT0367407". Lineage: Eukaryota; Metazoa; Chordata; Mammalia; Primates; Hominidae. The record is from RNAcentral.
GAUGUUAAAGAGGUUGCCAGUAUAUGACAAAAGUAGAAUUAGUAAACUACUACAUUGAGUACACUUUGUGUUAAAAUUCAUAGGAAAGACUUCUUAAAAACAGAAGUGAGAUUGUUAAAAUCCCCCCUAAGCAUUACAGAUGGCUUAUAGCUGUCCACGGGGUUGGUAGAGGUGGGAAAGGGAAGGGUUCUAGGCCAGAAUGUUCCUAUUUAGAAGACACUCAAAUUACAGUCUGUGUUAUGUAUGUAUACCAUUUAUUCAAUGCUACUGUGUAUAUAAUGAAAAACUUAAGUCCAGUUUGAAACAUCUAGUCUUUCUAGGUGUUUAAAAGUGUACAACGGCCUGUUGCAGUGGCUCAUACCUGUAAUCCCAGCACUUUGGGAGGCCGAGGCAGGCGGAUCACGGGGUCAGAAGUUCGAGACCAGUCUGGCCAACAUA